Long non-coding RNA from Dermacentor silvarum, 1058 nucleotides. RefSeq lists it as uncharacterized. Lineage: Eukaryota; Metazoa; Arthropoda; Arachnida; Ixodida; Ixodidae. The transcript is spliced from 2 exons. The record is from RefSeq and is a predicted model, not a curated record.
CACGGCGGCGGAGUGGAGAGGAGGAAAAAAAAAGAAUAAUAACAAAUGAAAAAAGAAUGCAGUCGAUGGCGAGAGCGAAAAGAAGUCAAGAUGGCGGUGGAUGGCCUCCCCUCUCCCUAGUCUCUCCCCCUCCGGCGUCCGCCCCAGGAAUGAGGUAACCUAGAUCGGCGGGUCUGUUUUGAUGCGGGCUGUGCGCUCGGGGAGGCAGGCGGCCGUACGCGCUCUACGACGUGCAGCGUCUGGGAAUGGCAUUGAGUUUCUCGCCGACUUGUUUUGACGCGUCGGAGUCGCCGCGCUAAAUUCGCUCUUCCGCACUGCAUGCGACUCGCACGUACCGCACGACCUCGUCUGUCCUGUGCGCCAGUGGCGUUGUUCUCUAAGCAGCUCUUUUACACAAGGCCGUGGCUAAUUUUAGCCGUUUCACGCACGACAUAGAGAGCUCACUUGGGUUGAACAGCUCUGCUAUGAUGCAAGAAGUGUAUUUAACGUCCUCACUUACACCCUGUGUGAAAGUUCGUGAGACCUGCGCACAGAAGAGGCGGCGAUGCGUGUCUGUCCUGGAAACGUCUCUUGUGCGAUCGAGGACUUGAACGUGGUUCAGAAAAGACGGAAUAAGAACGUUAUCGCUUUCAAGAACUGCAUUACUGAAGCCUUCUCUAAUAUGUCGUCGAAUAUCCUGGGCCGCCUGGCCACUCCUGGUGCGAAGCAAAGAGUUGCCGGAAAGGAGGACUGCAGACGUGGAAUCAGAUAUGCGAGCGACCCGCCACUCUCUUGCAUUCUUCUUUGGCCCAGCCACUCGCCGCUCCCUCCCGCGCCCUCUCUCCGUCUCGUCUAGCCCUUUCUUCUCCCGCCGCCGCGGACCGCAAGAGAAGCACCGCAAACUCGCGCGGUUCGCGCAGGUCUGCUACACAUUCCCUUUAUACCUGCUGCUUCUCUCCGUAAUUGUGUGCAGCGCCGAAACACGUGGACACGUGUGGUUCUAUACUUGCUUUGCUGUGCGUUCUUCUGCCUGCGUGUUGUUUUGUUUCGAAAGAUAAAGGAAUUCCCACGCACCUGUC